CCUAGAGCUCUGAAGUCACUUUGGCCUUGGUGCAGGAUUCCCCUGAUGACAUCAUUUGUCUAGACAUUGAAGAGAAGCAGAGUGAUGUGGUCAGACGAGGGAAAAUCCGAGUGGGAACAAGGAGCAGGAGCUCAUUACAGGGACCAUGUUGCCCCUGAGAUACAAGUAAAACUAGCGUGUGCUGCAGUGUGUGAGAGGACAGAAAUAACAGUGGGGGCUCAACAAAAGCAGCGGAUGUAGCAGGUUCUUAGGCAAGGCCCCCACUGAUGAGAGCCUCUGGCUGUGGGCCAGGCUCAGGUAGCCACAGAAAGCUCACAGCACAGCCCCCAGCUGAACCGCAAGCCUCUGCCCCACCGUACCCAGCUCAGAGCAAAGCAGAAACUCGAAGCAGACGCUGCUCCCCAAAAGCAGCACCCCAAAAUAUGCUGUGGCAGGCACCAUGGGCAAGGCUGUCUCCUUCUGGCCCUGCCAUCCUGCUGCUGGUGAUCUGUGGCAGCAUGAGCUCCCAGGACAUCUGCAGCUCCCCAGGGGAUCUCCAAGCUCCUGCUCUCCAAAUGAACUCAACUUCUGCUCAGCCAGGUACCAGAGUUGUGCUCCAGUGUAUUCUCCAUGUGUUUUCACAUACAAGACGAAUCAUCUUCUGCAAGGAUGGGAAGGAGGUGUACAGCCAGGAAGCCCAGCAAGGGCAGCUGAGCUACUCCGUGGUCCUGAACAUCACGUCAAGGAGCGCAGGAAGAUAUACAUGUGGGUACCAGCAGAGGAAUGAGAUGAAACAGAGGAGGAGCUCUGCCCUCAGUGCUGGCCGCAUCCUGAAUGUCCCUGGUGAGUCAUGGCCCUGGGCUGGAGGGGUGAGAAGGGACGGAGGCACUUGCCACCACAUGGCUGUGCUGAGGCUGGAGCUGUGUGCUGCAGCAGGCUCUGGGAUGGUUCCCUUACGGGAGUGUUCCCUCUCCUCCAAGGCAGCCCCUACAGAGAGAGAGUUGUUCUCAAGGGGUCCCGUGUCCCUGCAGCACCACCUCUGCUGCAGAGAU
RNAcentral lists this long non-coding RNA (1031 nucleotides) under Anas platyrhynchos platyrhynchos (common mallard). Its description in RNAcentral is "lncRNA (ENSAPLG00000017685.1)". Lineage: Eukaryota; Metazoa; Chordata; Aves; Anseriformes; Anatidae. The record is from RNAcentral.